GUACCCGUAGCUCAGACGGACAGAGCGUGGGACUCCGACUCCCAAGGCCGCAGGUUCGAUUCCUGUCGGGUACGCCA
This 77-nucleotide transfer RNA is filed under the name Clostridia bacterium. RNAcentral describes it as "tRNA-Arg". It matches the Rfam family "tRNA". Rfam says of the family: Transfer RNA (tRNA) molecules are approximately 80 nucleotides in length. Their secondary structure includes four short double-helical elements and three loops (D, anti-codon, and T loops). The record is from RNAcentral. Lineage: Bacteria; Bacillati; Bacillota; Clostridia.